GCGCCAUUAGCUCAGCCGGUAGAGCAAUCCCCUUUUAAGGGAGAGGUCCCGCGUUCGAAUCGCGGAUGGCGCA
Candidatus Melainabacteria bacterium GWF2_37_15 is the source of this 73-nucleotide non-coding RNA. Lineage: Bacteria; Bacillati; Candidatus Melainabacteria. The record is from Rfam.